AGAUGUGCAGGCAAUGUGGCUGAGGCAUCUGUCACCCCAUAGACCACCAGGAUUGACUCAGAUGAUGUGGCUGACUAGGUGGGCGUCCCCUUCUCUCUCACUGCUCCAUGUUCAUCCCUCCUGAAGCUGCACAGUUCAUCAAAGAGGAUGACCUUCCUCCAAACACAGAGGACCAGUCUUCAGUAAGGGUGGAGUAGCUGUUCUCCCCUGCCAGAACCUCCGAUCAAGUUCUCAGAAACAGUCAAGUGGUAAAAGAAUGUUCAAAACCCUUUGGGUUUUUACAACUAUGGACAAAGUAAGAAGGGAUGUUAACUUCGAAAAUGGUCAUUCAAACUGAAUUU
Molecule: non-coding RNA, 341 nt
Organism: Cricetulus griseus (Chinese hamster)
Lineage: Eukaryota; Metazoa; Chordata; Mammalia; Rodentia; Cricetidae
Source: Rfam